UGGCGAAAGAGUCAAGAAAAGUUGCCAUACAGAUGUCACGUAAACCUCAUCAUCAGAUAAUCUUAUUUAUGUUUAGUUCCUGAAAUCAAGCAACGUAAUUUAUGUUAAAUCGAUGGUGUCACUGAAUCUUUUAAAAUCAAGUAAUCCUUUGUUGUCAACUCAUAUUUGCAAAGAUCCAUUAAUUGCAAGACAAUAAGAUGCUCGAUAUUGUUUUCUGUUUAUUGUUAUAGAGAGCUUAAACCAACAUCUGAGGAUUUCUGGUUAAUUAUAAGCAUAUUAGUAAGGUCCAGUGUAUGAAAUUAAACUCGUGAUCUGAAUACACGUGCAUGAGUCCCCAGGUAAAAGGAUAUAU
This is a long non-coding RNA of Arabidopsis thaliana (thale cress), 352 nucleotides long. RefSeq annotates it as other RNA. The transcript has a single exon. NCBI's taxonomy places the organism in Eukaryota, Viridiplantae, Streptophyta, Magnoliopsida, Brassicales, Brassicaceae. The record is from RefSeq.